Molecule: long non-coding RNA, 1881 nt
Filed under: Gadus morhua (Atlantic cod)
Lineage: Eukaryota; Metazoa; Chordata; Actinopteri; Gadiformes; Gadidae
Description: lncRNA (ENSGMOG00000031104.1)
Source: RNAcentral
UUUACAGUGGAUUUCUUACAUCCUCCGUCAAGAUUUUUGACAUUCAGGAAAGGAUAGACAAAGGUUGAUAUUGUUACAAUGCUGCCGAGGCAGAGCCUCAGCUGAAGCUCAUUAAGUGAGAUGCUCCACAUUUCCUCGAGUGCGGAGACGUCAGCCGGCGUCGUAGUCUGAGCGGCCCGCCGGUUCAGUCUGAGCGGAGAGGAGUUCUGCAAAGUCAUGCAUGCUUGUGCAUCGCUGCCCCGGGAGACGCAGAGGGUAUCGCGUGUGUUUUCUACACUGAACCCAGCGAACAUGUUCUGCAGGCGGGCAUUGCAGCGCUUCGGACCCCUGACUCAAAGGGCAGCCAAUCCGUCACUCAGAAAUGCCGUGCCCGUGCGACACAUGGCCUUCGGCAUCCCCGGCUCGUCCAACAUGGCGUACUUUGUCAUGUGUGGAGGCGGCCUCACGGCGGCCAUGGUCUAUGCCUACAAGACAGUGAACGGAGACAGCGAGAGGUACAACGACAGACUGGCAGAGAUUGCCGCCCCAAAAGAAGCAGCUCCAGAGGCUGAGCCCACACCAGCAGCUCCAGAACCGGCAGUAGAGGCCGUCGCAGUCGAAGCUGUAGAGGCCGUCACAGUCGAGGCAGUCGAAGCUGUAGAGGCCGUCACAGUCGAGGUUGUCGCUGUAGAGGCCCUAGCCGUAGAGGCUGAACCCGCAGCAGUGGAAGAGGCGGCCAUCGAGGUGGUAGCGGAGGCUCCGGCGGCCGAGGCUGUAUCGGAGACCGCCGCCGAACCCGCCCUGGAGGUCGUCGCUGUCGAGGCCGUCGCCGUGGAGGCCGUUCCUGAAGCCGCUGUCGUCGAAGAGGUGGCGCCGGCGGAGUCGGUUGUCGAGUCCGCUGAGCCCGCGGUGGAAGAGGCCGCGCCCGCCGCCACAGAGGUGGCUGACUCGGUCGAGGUCGUCGUGGAGGAGGUGGCUGCCCCAGCGGAAGCCGCCCCGGUGGAGAGUGAGGGUACAGUGGUAGUAGAGGACAUCCCUAGCCCCGUUGAGGUCGCCCCGGAGGCCGACGCCGCCGCUACCAUCGUAGCAGCGGCCUAAAGCGCUGGCCCACCCCCAGUAGUGCUGUAGUUAGCUGUGCUGUGUUUUCCUAAACUCUCUUCCCAACAAGGUGGACUGGAGGGGAGAGUCCCAAAGGGCGAGGGGAAACUUGUAGUCACACACGCCGAAAUGCAUACCUGCUGCUGACUUUCAGUCUGGUAAAAGGGCCAUUUAAAUGCCUCACUCUUGAACAUCUUUUAAAAAGAUGGUUUCAAGUACUUUACAGAUUUUUUGUCUGUGCCUUACUAUGGGCCAAGGACGAAGGCCUACUACCCCCUGUUGUCUUUGUCGUUGUUGGGAGUUGUGAGUUUUGGUCCUUUGCAAUAGGAGUCUUAAGCCAACCCAAAUGCCAGUUCCUAGUGUUAUCUGAACUGGUUCACUGAUGGGAGGGUGUAAAACUUCGUUUCAGAUGAUAUUUCAUUGUUCAUAAAUGUGUAUUCCUGAGUCAUGUUUAACUUGCAAUUAGUUCAACAUCUGUCGGUUAUUCUGUUUGAAUAGCAAUCACCUUUUCUAGAAUGAUUCACUCCAAUUUGAAUAUGACUGUUCAUUUCAUUAAUCAUCCAGCAUCAUCACCCCUCAUUCUCAAUCUUCAUUGCAUUUUUGUACUUGGAACUUUGACAUGCCAAGUGGAUGAUGAGGAAAGAAGUUAUUCAAUAAAGAAUUGCAAAUAAUUGUGGUCUUAGUUUCAAAUUGGUUUAAUCUCCUUCUGAUCAACAAAUGCCUUCCCUUUAAAAUCCAAGUAUGAGGUUUUCAUCAACUCCUCUGAAAUCGUCAAUCUGGGAUUUGAUUUAGAUUUUUGCAAAC